Molecule: long non-coding RNA, 238 nt
Filed under: Fukomys damarensis (Damara mole-rat)
Lineage: Eukaryota; Metazoa; Chordata; Mammalia; Rodentia; Bathyergidae
Description: lncRNA (ENSFDAG00000032129.1)
Source: RNAcentral
AGACAUUGUUCUAGCAGAGGAAGAGGCCCUCAGUGGUGAGGAGAAAGAAGAAAGUCCAGGAAGUGCCAGUGAAUUUUUCUUUACCACAUGGGCCACUCUUUGGCAGGAGUUUGUUAAGGUCCUCUCACCUGUGCUGUAUGCAGAGGACACUACACACACAAGCACAUACAGAGUCUUCUCUUCCACUGGGGAAGCUUUGGUACAUCUGGUGGUCUGACUUCAGAGCAACCAAGAAGAG